Molecule: ribosomal RNA, 780 nt
Filed under: uncultured bacterium
Lineage: Bacteria
Description: bacterial SSU rRNA
Rfam family: Bacterial small subunit ribosomal RNA
Source: RNAcentral
AAUUGGUUACAUUCCCUUGAGUUGAUCUGGCUCAGAUUGAACGCUGGCGGCAUGCCUUACACAUGCAAGUCGAGCGGCAGCGCGGGGGCAACCCUGGCGGCGAGCGGCGAACGGGUGAGUAAUGCAUCGGAACGUGUCCUUUUGUGGGGGAUAACCAGUCGAAAGACUGGCUAAUACCGCAUGAGCUCGCAAGAGGAAAGCAGGGGACCCGCAAGGGCCUUGCGCGAGAGGAGCGGCCGAUGCCCGAUUAGCUAGUUGGUGGGGUAAUAGCCCACCAAGGCGACGAUCGGUAGCUGGUCUGAGAGGACGACCAGCCACACUGGGACUGAGACACGGCCCAGACUCCUACGGGAGGCAGCAGUGGGGAAUUUUGGACAAUGGGGGCAACCCUGAUCCAGCCAUGCCGCGUGUGUGAAGAAGGCCUUCGGGUUGUAAAGCACUUUCGGCCGGAACGAAAUCGCGCGAUCUAAUAAAUCGCGUGGAUGACGGUACCGGAAGAAGAAGCACCGGCUAACUACGUGCCAGCAGCCGCGGUAAUACGUAGGGUGCGAGCGUUAAUCGGAAUUACUGGGCGUAAAGUGUGCGCAGGUGGCCGAGCAAGUCGAGUGUGAAUCCCCGGGCUUACUUGGGAUUGCGCUCGAACUACUUGGCUCGAGUGUGGCAAGGAGGUGGAAUCCCGUGUAGCGUGAAUGCUAAGAGUGGAGACACGAUGGGACGACCUCUGACACCUGCCUCUGACGAAGCUGGACAACAGAUAAUCCGCAUCCGCUAACAAUACAU